Molecule: non-coding RNA, 115 nt
Organism: Parachaetomium inaequale
Lineage: Eukaryota; Fungi; Ascomycota; Sordariomycetes; Sordariales; Chaetomiaceae
Source: the annotation of a GenBank genome assembly
AGUUAUAUAGCGUAGUGGUCAGUGCGUAUGCUCUUUGUAUACCUAACCUCUAGACCUGUCUAGAGGUUGAGCUGUGACUGGCGCGGGGUCGUGGGUUCGAUUCCUAUUGUGGCUA